CAGUCCCGCGGGAAUACGUAGGUGGCAAGCGUUGUCCGGAAUUAUUGGGCGUAAAGGGCUCGCAGGCGGUUUCUUAAGUCUGAUGUGAAAGCCCCCGGCUCAACCGGGGAGGGUCAUUGGAAACUGGGAAACUUGAGUGCAGAAGAGGAGAGUGGAAUUCCACGUGUAGCGGUGAAAUGCGUAGAGAUGUGGAGGAACACCAGUGGCGAAGGCGACUCUCUGGUCUGUAACUGACGCUGAGGAGCGAAAGCGUGGGGAGCGAACAGGAUUAGAGACCCCUGUAGUCCCUGUCUCUUAUACA
RNAcentral lists this ribosomal RNA (301 nucleotides) under uncultured bacterium. Its description in RNAcentral is "partial 16S ribosomal RNA". It matches the Rfam family "Bacterial small subunit ribosomal RNA", at positions 512 to 808 of the family's 1533-position model. The record is from RNAcentral.